UACGUAGGGUGCAAGCGUUAAUCGGAAUUACUGGGUGUAAAGCGUGCGCAGGCGGCUUUGCAAGACAGAUGUGAAAUCCCCGGGCUUAACCUGGGAACUGCAUUUGUGACUGCAUGGCUGGAGUGCGGCAGAGGGGGAUGGAAUUCCGCGUGUAGCAGUGAAAUGCGUAGAUAUGCGGAGGAACACCGAUGGCGAAGGCAAUCCCCUGGGCCGGUACUGACGCUGAGGAGCGAAAGCGUGGGGAGCAAACAGG
This 253-nucleotide ribosomal RNA is filed under the name uncultured bacterium. Its description in RNAcentral is "partial 16S ribosomal RNA". It matches the Rfam family "Bacterial small subunit ribosomal RNA", at positions 524 to 776 of the family's 1533-position model. The record is from RNAcentral.